This is a long non-coding RNA of Folsomia candida, 588 nucleotides long. RefSeq lists it as uncharacterized. Lineage: Eukaryota; Metazoa; Arthropoda; Collembola; Entomobryomorpha; Isotomidae. The record is from RefSeq and is a predicted model, not a curated record. The transcript has 2 exons.
AAAAUCUCACUCAGACAGCUCUAAAACCAGUCGAGAUCUCUCAGUUGACUUAUCUUAUUGAACAAAAAUAUAUACACACAAUUUCCCUCAGAAACCAUGAAGAUUUUUGCAAUCAUUUUUGCCAUCGUCGCCAUCCUCAUUGGGCUCACAUUUGGUCAGAAAAGUGGGGAAAAAUGUACUUUCACCGGUGUCCAAGCAACGGAUGAUUCCGCGUGUGGCGGAAACCUUCUCUGUGGUAAAACCGGUACGUGCGUCUGUCCCGAUGUGUACGGAUCAUCGACUGCCAAAUUCACCGUGUCCGCUGAUCAAACGACUUGUGUUGCGAAAUCAUAAAUUUUCAAUAAUUGACAUGUCAUUUAUGUAUGUAUAUCGGAAGAAAUGUGUCAAAGUUAUUAAAAAUUUUCAUGAUACAUAUGUAUGUAUUAAAAGCUGUGAUACAGAGGCAUGCUAUUCUUAUCAGCAUUAUAAUUUUGUGCUUGUUAUCCAAAUUUGUAAAUAACUUGCUUAUGAUCGGGAAUACUUAUUAUACAAUUUGUGAAUAGUAAUUAAGAUAUAGAAAAAUAAAUUGAAUACUGCAUGCAAAUUUCA